CCUACGGGGGGCUGCAGUGGGGAAUAUUGGACAAUGGGGGGAACCCUGAUCCAGCCAUGCCGCGUGUGUGAAGAAGGCCCUCGGGUUGUAAAGCACUUUCAGUGAGGAAGAACGCCUGGUGGUUAAUACCCAUCAGGAAAGACAUCACUCACAGAAGAAGCACCGGCUAACUCCGUGCCAGCAGCCGCGGUAAUACGGAGGGUGCGAGCGUUAAUCGGAAUUACUGGGCGUAAAGCGCGCGUAGGUGGCUUGAUAAGCCGGUUGUGAAAGCCCCGGGCUCAACCUGGGAACGGCAUCCGGAACUGUCAAGCUAGAGUGCAGGAGAGGAAGGUAGAAUUCCCGGUGUAGCGGUGAAAUGCGUAGAGAUCGGGAGGAAUACCAAUGGCGAAGGCGGCCUUCUGGACUGACACUGACACUGAGGUGCGAAAGCGUGGGUAGCAAACAGGAUUAGAUACCCGGGUAGUC
RNAcentral lists this ribosomal RNA (465 nucleotides) under Vreelandella stevensii. Its description in RNAcentral is "partial 16S ribosomal RNA". It matches the Rfam family "Bacterial small subunit ribosomal RNA", at positions 338 to 795 of the family's 1533-position model. Lineage: Bacteria; Pseudomonadati; Pseudomonadota; Gammaproteobacteria; Oceanospirillales; Halomonadaceae. The record is from RNAcentral.